AUUCCAGCUCCAGUAGCGUAUAUUAAUGUUGUUGCAGUUAAAAAGCUCGUAGUUGGAUUUCUGACUUGACGCGCCUGGCCCGCCUUGCAUUUCGCGGGUGAGUGCCGGAGCGCGUCGGUCAUCCUUCUAGAGAACGGCGCUACCCUUCACUGGGUCGGCGUCGCAAUCUAGAUCUUUUACUUUGAAAAAAUUAGAGUGUUCAAGGCAGGCUCGCGCUGUGAAUACAUUAGCAUGGAAUAAUAAUCUAGGACUUUGUUCCUAUUUUGUUGGUUUCUAGGAAUUAAGUAAUGAUUGAUAGGGAUAGUUGGGGGUGCUAGUAUUCAGCGGCCAGAGGUGAAAUUCUUGGAUUCGCUGAAGACUGACUUAUGCGAAAGCAUUCACCAAGGAUGUCUUCAUUA
This 398-nucleotide ribosomal RNA is filed under the name Imbricatea sp. RNAcentral's name for it is "partial small subunit ribosomal RNA". It matches the Rfam family "Eukaryotic small subunit ribosomal RNA", at positions 582 to 975 of the family's 1831-position model. The record is from RNAcentral. Lineage: Eukaryota; Cercozoa; Imbricatea.